AUUAUAACGCUUGGCUAUACUCCUUGUUCUAAAACUCGUCCAUCCGCCUAGACGCUGCCAAAAAGAGGCAGUAUCAAUUUUGUCCAAACGGUAAAAAUAAUCGUUGAUUCGAUUUUCUGUCCACCUACACCGAUUAAUAUAGCCGUCUAGACGGCACCUACCCCAUUUUUCUUUUUUUUUUGGAUCUAAAAUUCAAAGCGUCCAAUUUUUAUUCGUAAUUUGUAUAAAAUCUUGUUUAAUGCAAUUUUAAAAACAAUAUUAUAUAGAUUCCGCGGUUUCUUUAACACGGGCUAUACUUAAUUGUUCCCUAUUUUGUGUCCAUGAUUUUUUUUUCCUUUUAAAGCCAUUGUUAUACAAACGAAAACCCAAAUAUUAUAUGAAAGUGUUUUUAUCUUUAUGAUAUGGUAUACCUUAUUUAUUUUCUUAUUUUUCCAUUAAUCUUAUUAUAUAAAGUUUAAUUUCUCGACAAGAUAUUGCCAUCUUUGAGAAAGUCCCGAUGAGAGGGACUAAUGAGUUCCUUGCAACUGAAAAGUACUGCUUUAAUCUGUUUAGUCAGCAAAGUACCUCUCUCCCGUAAAAUCUAGUAAAACGUUUUAGUCCUUUUCUUUCGUAAC
Molecule: small RNA, 614 nt
Filed under: Arabidopsis thaliana (thale cress)
Lineage: Eukaryota; Viridiplantae; Streptophyta; Magnoliopsida; Brassicales; Brassicaceae
Description: ATSL210210
Source: RNAcentral